ACCAUAGCAAACGCCUUACGAAUGAAUCGGAUACUCGUGAACAGACAGUAAGUGCUUCGAGAGACGCUGUGCGCACACUUCUCGCUGCCGAAAGCCGUCUCGUCCAGGAUGCAUUGAAGCGGACACACACAGCCUGCAGCGAAGAACAACGCGACGGACAUUGCUCUACUCCACUUGGCAUCCUCUUAGACCCCCUCGUGAGCCUUGGCCGACGCCUGGCAAUGCUGGUUGGCUGCACUCGUAUCUGACGAGCCCGGCGACGUCUUGCUGCAGCGGUAGCCUUGAGUGCCAGCAUCAGCGCAGUUCCAUCCGUGCUGUUUUGCACACGAGCCAGCUCCUCUCCAAGGCCCUUCAGAAUCUCGAGAAUCUUCUGAUGGUCUCGUCAAGCUUCGCCGAUGCCCAUGGGGUGUGGAAGAAACCAAGUAAUGCAAACAAAACACAGUUUUACUUCAUUUGUAUAUUUAUUCACUUAUUUAUAAAUAAUAAAAUCACCAAACUUGAUUUUAAUGACUUUGGUACAAUAAUCACAUACAUGGCAGUAACAACACACUAAUAAUGCAAAUUAAUCAAUCUCUCUUUUUUUUUGCUUGCAAAUGGUGCUUUCAUGGCUUAUCGAGCCACCUUUGCUGCUUUU
Long non-coding RNA from Rhipicephalus sanguineus (brown dog tick), 634 nucleotides. RefSeq lists it as uncharacterized. The transcript is spliced from 3 exons. The record is from RefSeq and is a predicted model, not a curated record. Lineage: Eukaryota; Metazoa; Arthropoda; Arachnida; Ixodida; Ixodidae.